GUUGUGGGGCCUUUCCACUCUAGGUGUCGGGCGGUUGGUGGUGAGUUUGUUUAGGCCGGUCCGCGGGCCGCAAGGGCGAGGGAGCCAGAGCUUUUCUUUUCGAUUUUUUUUUUUUUUUUUUUGCGGUACGCGGGCCUCUCACCGCUGUGGCCUCUCCCGUUGCGGAGCACACGCUCCGGACGCACAGGCUCAGCGGCCAUGUCUCACGGGCCCAGCCGCUCCGCGGCAUGUGGGAUCCUCCCAGACUGGGGCACGAACCCGUGUCCCCUGCAUCAGCAGGCGGACUCUAAACCACUGCGCCACCAGGGAAGCCCCAGAGCUUUUCUAAUUUCUUGAACGAUGUCCUCGGGGAGCCUAAUUGGAGGGCGGCGGGCGGCUGCAUCCACGCGGGCCUUAGGGCGGGCGCCGUGGCCUUGUGUCCGAGUUUGGGGGCCGAGGCCCGAGGACCGCGUGCGUCUUAAUCCGGCCGGGCAGCCGCCGUCUCGGGACCCUUGACCCCGGGCUCGCCGCUGGGAGUGAGCACCCCCCCGAGAGAACUAGAUGGCAGACACACUCGAUUUUGGAGACGGGAGCAACAUCCCUACCCGAGGUUAAGAGCCAGUCUGGGUUGCAAGUUAGUGAAGGGUGGCCAGCGCGUGAUCACCAACAGCUGGGUAUGGGAGCCCGAGCAUUGGCCUGCUCCGAGGUAAGCUAGCUUUGGGCUCUGGACAAGUUUGUGGUUGAGGAGGCCUAGCUCUUGAGUUGAUUCAUGUGAAGUUGCUACUGGACCAGAUAUUGGCAGUGUCCUCCAGCUGACCUAAUACCUCGUGUCGGUGCAGCCCUUGAGCAUUAUUGAGAAAAUAUCGGAGAAUGAUUUUGGUUCGUGAUGUCUGGACCAGACUGCAGAGUGAGCCCAGGAGUUCCUUUGAGGUCAUGGCUGUACAGUCCUGAGCAAACUGCUUAUCUGCUCCGAGAUGCUCUGAAAAUGGACAGCCUUAGGUCUGUUUGCAGAAACAACGUGACUGAACGGAGGUUAAGACACUGGGAACUGCCUCCAGUUGCUUUUGGCAUCUGCUGUCUGUCCAUGGGUGCCUCAUUCAUCCCGCCAGGUUUUGAGCACUGAAGAGUGGGAUCGGUGCAGCAGAGCUCUACAGUGGGCGGGAGUGGCGGCAGCAUCCCAGCCCAAGAAGAGGCUGUGCUGCGGCGGGGCAGAAUUUGAAGUCCUAAGGACCAGGGGCGGCCAUCAACGUGGGCCCUGAAAACCUAGGCCUCCCACAUUUGGUGUAGAAACACUCACCCUGUGCUGAGUGGCAGAGGGACAUUCUUACCGAUGAGGGAGCCAAGAAAUGGAUUUUCUGGGACCGCGUGGACUGGCACUUCUGGUGUCACUAAAUUCAUGAGUUUUCUUGUAUCGUCCCUUAACCAAAAGGAACUUUUGUACUUCUAAAUAUUGUAUAAAUGUGUUCUUGGGUGAGAGCCUGAGGUUUUUUGUUUGUUUUUGCGGGACGUGGGCCUCUCACUGCUGUGGCCUCUCCCGUUGCGGAGCACAGGCUCCAGACGCGCAGGCUCAGCGGCCAUGGCUCACGGGCCCAGCCCAGACCCGGGGCACGAACCCGUGUCCCCUGCAUCGGCAGGCGGACCCUCAACCACUGCGCCACCAGGGAAGCCCAGCCUGAGGUUUUUGAACUGGAAGCUUCCUGAAAUUUGUAUCUCCAUGCAGUUAACCAUAAACAAUGUAAUAAAAGUAUGGUCUUUGGUA
Mesoplodon densirostris (Blainville's beaked whale) is the source of this 1738-nucleotide long non-coding RNA. RefSeq lists it as uncharacterized. The transcript has 4 exons. The record is from RefSeq and is a predicted model, not a curated record. Lineage: Eukaryota; Metazoa; Chordata; Mammalia; Artiodactyla; Ziphiidae.